CCAGACUCCUACGGGAGGCAGCAGUGAGGAAUAUUGGUCAAUGGCCGAGAGGCUGAACCAGCCAAGUCGCGUGAGGGAAGACGGCCCUACGGGUUGUAAACCUCUUUUGUCGGGGAGCAAAGCGAGUCACGUGUGACUCAUUGAGAGUACCCGAAGAAAAAGCAUCGGCUAACUCCGUGCCAGCAGCCGCGGUAAUACGGAAGAUGCGAGCGUUAUCCGGAUUUAUUGGGUUUAAAGGGUGCGCAGGCGGAAUGUCAAGUCAGCGGUAAAAUUUCGGGGCUCAACCCCGUCGUGCCGUUGAAACUGGCGUUCUUGAGUGGAAGAGAAGUAUGCGGAAUGCGUGGUGUAGCGGUGAAAUGCAUAGAUAUCACGCAGAACCCCGAUUGCGAAGGCAGCAUGCCGGCUUCCGACUGACGCUGAAGCACGAAAGCGUGGGGAUCGAACAGGAUUAGAUACCCGUGUAC
This 464-nucleotide ribosomal RNA is filed under the name uncultured bacterium. RNAcentral describes it as "bacterial SSU rRNA". It matches the Rfam family "Bacterial small subunit ribosomal RNA", at positions 331 to 793 of the family's 1533-position model. The record is from RNAcentral.